AGGUAUGCUUAGGGAGGAGCUUGCGUCACAUUAGUUAGUUGGUGGGGUAAAGGCCUACCAAGACUAUGAUGUGUAGCCGGGCUGAGAGGUUGAACGGCCACAUUGGGACUGAGACACGGCCCAAACUCCUACGGGAGGCAGCAGUAGGGAAUUUUCGGCAAUGGAGGAAACUCUGACCGAGCAACGCCGCGUGAACGAUGAAGUAUUUCGGUACGUAAAGUUCUUUUAUUAGGGAAGAAUAAAUGAUGGAAAAAUCAUUCUGACGGUACCUAAUGAAUAAGCCCCGGCUAACUAUGUGCCAGCAGCCGCGGUAAUACAUAGGGGGCAAGCGUUAUCCGGAAUUAUUGGGCGUAAAGGGUGCGUAGGCUGUUAAAUAAGUUUAUGGUCUAAGUGCAAUGCUCAACAUUGUGAUGCUAUAAAAACUGUUUAGCUAGAGUAAGAUAGAGGCAAGUGGAAUUCCAUGUGUAGUGGUAAAAUGCGUAAAUAUAUGGAGGAACACCAGUAGCGAAGGCGGCUUGCUGGGUCUUUACUGACGCUGAGGCACGAAAGCGUGGGGAGCAAACAGGAUUAGAUACCCUGGUAGUCCACGCCGUAAACGAUGAGUACUAAACGUUGGGUAAAACCAGUGUUGAAGUUAACACAUUAAGUACUCCGCCUGAGUAGUACGUACGCAAGUAUGAAACUUAAAGGAAUUGACGGGACUCCGCACAAGCGGUGGAUCAUGUUGUUUAAUUCGAAGGUACCCGAAAAACCUCACCAGGUCUUGACAUGCUUCUGCAAAGCUGUAGAAACACAGUGGAGGUUAUCAGUUGCACAGGUGGUGCAUGGUUGUCGUCAGCUCGUGUCGUGAGAUGUUGGGUUAAGUCCCGCAACGAGCGCAACCCUUAUUGUUAGUUGCCAACACGUAAUGGNGGGGACUUUAGC
Molecule: ribosomal RNA, 924 nt
Filed under: Candidatus Phytoplasma asteris-related phytoplasma
Lineage: Bacteria; Bacillati; Mycoplasmatota; Mollicutes; Acholeplasmatales; Acholeplasmataceae
Description: bacterial SSU rRNA
Rfam family: Bacterial small subunit ribosomal RNA
Source: RNAcentral